UAACCUGCCCAAGAGAUCGGGAUAACACCUGGAAACAGAUGCUAAUACCGGAUAACAACAGAUGAUGCCUAUCAACUGUUUAAAAGAUGGUUCUGCUAUCACUCUUGGAUGGACCUGCGGUGCAUUAGCUAGUUGGUAGGGUAACGGCCUACAAAGGCGAUGAUGCAUAGCCGAGUUGAGAGACUGAUCGGCCACAUUGGGACUGAGACACGGCCCAAACUCCUACGGGAGGCAGCAGAG
This 240-nucleotide ribosomal RNA is filed under the name uncultured Lactobacillus sp. RNAcentral's name for it is "partial 16S ribosomal RNA". It matches the Rfam family "Bacterial small subunit ribosomal RNA", at positions 122 to 354 of the family's 1533-position model. Lineage: Bacteria; Bacillati; Bacillota; Bacilli; Lactobacillales; Lactobacillaceae. The record is from RNAcentral.